RNAcentral lists this ribosomal RNA (253 nucleotides) under uncultured bacterium. Its description in RNAcentral is "partial 16S ribosomal RNA". It matches the Rfam family "Bacterial small subunit ribosomal RNA", at positions 524 to 776 of the family's 1533-position model. The record is from RNAcentral.
UACGGGGGGGGCAAGCGUUGUUCGGAAUUACUGGGCGUAAAGGGCUCGUAGGCGGCCAACUAAGUCGGAUGUGAAAUCCCCAGGCUCAACUUGGGAACUGCAUCCGAUACUGGAUGGCUUGAAUUCGGGAGAGGGAUGCAGAAUUCCAGGUGUAGCGGUGAAAUGCGUAGAUAUCUGGAGGAACACCGGUGGCGAAGGCGACAUCCUGGACCGGUAUUGACGCUGAGGCGCGAAAGCCAGGGGAGCAAACGGG